CCUACGGGGGGCAGCAGUGGGGAAUUUUGCGCAAUGCUCGUAAGAGUGACGCAGCGACGCCGCGUGAAUGACGAAGGCCUUCGGGUCGUAAAGUUCUUUCGACAGGGAAGAAAAUGCAUAUAAGUAACUGUGUAUGUAUUGACGGUACCUGUAUAAGCAGCCCCGGCUAACUCCGUGCCAGCAGCCGCGGUAAUACGGAGGGGGCGAGCGUUUUUCGGGGGGACUGGGCGUAAAGAGCACGUAGGCGGUGUUGUAAGUCAUUAGUCAAAGACUAGAGCUCAACUUUAGUAAGGCUAGUGAUACUAUAAUACUAGAGUAUCAGAGAGGAUUGCAGAAUUCCUGGUGGAGCGGUGAAAUGCGUAGAUAUCAGGAGGAAUACCGUUAGCGAAGGCGGCAAUCUGGCUGGAAACUGACGCUGAGGUGCGAAAGCGUGGGUAGCAAACAGGAUUAGAUACCCCAGUAGUC
RNAcentral lists this ribosomal RNA (465 nucleotides) under uncultured bacterium. RNAcentral's name for it is "partial 16S ribosomal RNA". It matches the Rfam family "Bacterial small subunit ribosomal RNA", at positions 338 to 795 of the family's 1533-position model. The record is from RNAcentral.